CACGUAGUUAGCCGGGGCUUCUUAGUCAGGUACCGUCAUUUUCUUCCCUGCUGAUAGAGCUUUACAUACCGAGAUACUUCUUCACUCACGCGGCGUCGCUGCAUCAGGGUUUCCCCCAUUGUGCAGUAUUCCCCACUGCUGCCUCCCGUAGGAGUUUGGGCCGUGUCUCAGUCCCAAUGUGGCCGUCCGCCCUCUCAGGCCGGCUACCGAUCGUCGCUUUGGUGGGCCGUUACCCCGCCAACUGGCUAAUCGGACGCGGAUCCAUCGUAUGCCGAUAAAUCUUUUCACACAGUACCAUGCGGUAUUGUGCGCUUAUGCGGUAUUAGCAGCUGUUUCCAACUGUUAUCCCCCUGCAUACGGCAGGUUAUCCACGCGUUACUCACCCGUCCGCCACUAACUCGGAAAUCACUAGGUUUCAAUCCGAGUCCGUUCGACUUGCAUGUGUUAGGCACGCCGCCAGCGUUCAUCCUGAGCCAGGAUCAAACUCU
RNAcentral lists this ribosomal RNA (488 nucleotides) under uncultured Lachnospiraceae bacterium. RNAcentral describes it as "partial 16S ribosomal RNA". Lineage: Bacteria; Bacillati; Bacillota; Clostridia; Lachnospirales; Lachnospiraceae. The record is from RNAcentral.